This 540-nucleotide ribosomal RNA is filed under the name uncultured bacterium. RNAcentral describes it as "bacterial SSU rRNA". The stretch from base 1 to 484 matches the Rfam family "Bacterial small subunit ribosomal RNA", at positions 338 to 873 of the family's 1533-position model. The record is from RNAcentral.
CCUACGGGAGGCAGCAGUGAGGAAUAUUGCGCAAUGGAGGCAACUCUGACGCAGCCAUGCCGCGUGCAGGAAGAAGGCGCUACGCGUUGUAAACUGCUUUUAUCCGGGAAGAAACCCCUCUACGUGUGGAGGGUUGACGGUACCGGAGGAAUAAGCACCGGCUAACUUCGUGCCAGCAGCCGCGGUAAUACGAAGGGUGCAAGCGUUAUCCGGAUUCAUUGGGUUUAAAGGGUGCGUAGGUGGGGCGUUAAGUCAGUGGUGAAAUCCUGCAGCUCAACUGUAGACUUGCCAUUGAUACUGGCGCUCUUGAGUGCGGCUUGAAGUAGGCGGAAUGUGCCGUGUAGCGGUGAAAUGCUUAGAUAUGGCACAGAACACCAAUUGCGAAGGCAGCUUACUAAGGCGAUACUGACACUGAGGCACGAAAGCGUGGGGAUCGAACAGGAUUAGAUACCCUGGUAGUCCACGACCGUAACGAUAGAUCACUCGAGAGUGGUCGAUAUACGUACGAGUCGUCCGUACGACGAAGACGUUAAGUAAGUA